This is a long non-coding RNA of Triticum dicoccoides, 2022 nucleotides long. RefSeq lists it as uncharacterized. The transcript is spliced from 4 exons. NCBI's taxonomy places the organism in Eukaryota, Viridiplantae, Streptophyta, Magnoliopsida, Poales, Poaceae. The record is from RefSeq and is a predicted model, not a curated record.
CUCUCGGUUGUGAGAUUUUUUUCCAAGUUAUGGUUUCUCUUCUCUAGGUUGCUCUCCUAUGGCAUGCUUUGUUUCAGUUUAGUUAGAACACUAGCGCGUGUACUCCAAGAGCCCAACCACAUACGUACUCAAGCACACACACAACCAGCUUGAUUGAUUUCUUUUCUUUAUAUAUACUAGCAGCAGUAUGUCAGGAACCCUCCAUGGAUGAGGACGACCACCGGGACCUCCACAGCGACGUCGACGCCCCGCACAUGGUUGAGCUGGACGGAAAAACGGUGCCUUAGUCGCUCGCCGUGAUCGCGGUCGUCUGCGCUGGUGUGGUGCAGCCGAACUGGCUCAGCAACCACGUCGUGUACAAGGGCCAACUCCACUACGGCUCCUCAAGCAAGAAGAAGUGCCAUCACUGGUAUGAAACUCAUGCCAGGGGAAGGGAUUCCAUCACUGCCUUUUGAUCCGCAAGUGUAAUCUCCAUUGAGGAUCGUCCAUGUUCGGCAUUCAUCAACACAAUGCCAUCUUCAGUGCCCUCUCUAGGCCCUCACUCUGAAUUAUUUCGGUUUUAAGCAAGGGAACAAUCUAUAUGCAUCUAAACAUUUUUUUCCAAGUUAUUGCUGCUCUGCUAUGACAAUGUUUCUAGCUCUUGUUCAUAGUGUUGGAGUUUACGUAGUCUCGAUGUUCACUGAAUAAUAUGAAAGGAUUAGUUGAUGCUAUAUAUAGCAAAAUUUCUACACACUUGCAUCAGUUUGUAGAUAUUUCCAGUUAAAAGAUUGUGCUCUGCUCUGGUCUGAGCUAGGCAUUCUAUUUCUCUGUAAAAAAAAUUGCUUGCUCUGUUUGUCAACCAUUGCUUUUUUAUUUUUUGUUCGUUUUGGAUGCAGUAGGUGCCCUCCUUCCAUGGACGAGGAGGACAUUGACCUGGACCUUGACGGCGACGUCGUCCAGCCCACACAAGAUCUCUAUGCUGCUGUUGGUGGUGGCUGGUGAGGCGAUGCUGGAAAGCAUGGAGGCGUUGUCGAUGAAUAAGAGAAAAAGAAGAGGACACACCGUACAGCUGCUCACCUCGAUGGCUUGACCACCUCUGAUGGGCCGCCGAUGACACAUGGGGAGGCCGAGGUGAACAGGCUUGCGUGGGCAGAGGACCAGCGAUGGGGUCAACGGUGCUCACCCCGACCCCCCUUGGGAUCUAGGGGAAGGGGCUAUGGCGGCGGCGGCACCGGGAGAGGCGGCGGUGCUCGGAGAGGAGGCACAUACUUUAUUUCUACUUCUACUUUUCUUUUGCACAUGUAGUUUGGAUGCUUUAUCUGCUCGUGGAGCUAUGCUUCUGUUGCAUUGGGCUAAGGUUUGAUUGCUUGAAUGUGUAUGUCAAGGUGUAAGUGCAGACUCGUUGUUGAUGUUGAAUACUGGAGCAAGAAUGAUGAUCAAUGCUCUAAUGAACCUGCAUGAUGUAGCAUUACUAUUAAGAUAUAGGGUUAGGCACAUACCUUUUUUGACAAUGGGUACUCAUAAUGGGUAGACAAGUGUGGUUUUCAGGUGUAGUUGCCUAUUGGUUUAUUUAGUCUUCCUAUGUCGAUAUCUCUUUUACUGUAAAGCAGAGGCUGAUUGCUCGUGGCAGCGCUGGAUCUGGUGGCCAGCCGUCGCCGUUGCCUGUCCUCUUUGACGCGAGAGCACAUGGAGAAGUGGCUUGUGGCAGCGCUGGAUCCGGUGGGCAGACCUUGCCGUUGCCUGUCCUCUUCGACGUGAGGCUUGCAGGUCGCCCGCUUCGUGGAGCUUGACGAGGUCUCGGUCAGUCCGCAACAUACUUGCAGUCCAGGUCCUUGACAUAUUCGGGUUCACAGAAACAAAAAUUAGAGUUAAUUGAUCUGCCUCAACAAUUUCCUGCAUUAGAUAUCUUUUUGUGCUUAGUUUUUUUUGUGAAUUCUACAUUUUGUAGCUGAUGUUUUCAAACUGAUAAUAUUUUCGUAAGUUCGGGUUGGCACUUGGCUUUAUCAAAACUAGAAUAUAGAAUAUGUGUUGGAGAAGUGCCUA